Long non-coding RNA from Lutra lutra (Eurasian river otter), 1048 nucleotides. RefSeq lists it as uncharacterized. The record is from RefSeq and is a predicted model, not a curated record. The transcript is spliced from 6 exons. NCBI's taxonomy places the organism in Eukaryota, Metazoa, Chordata, Mammalia, Carnivora, Mustelidae.
CCCAGGCGCCCCAUGUGUGUUGUCUCAAGACUUAGAAGAUCAAGCCUUUAGUCCAAGCUCUCACAGGGAAGAAACUAACCACGCACUUCAACUAGAGCUGUGAAAGUCGGGAGGCGCGCCGGAGCUCGUUUGAACUCUUCCGGCCACCGUCGCUGGGUCCUUUCCGCCGCUUCUUCUUCUGCGCCUGCGCACGGCUGGAACGCCGUCCAUUUCAUUAUCUGUUAGGAAGGACGUUAGGUUGAAGUUGGUGUAGAGGAGAAUAACGACCAUGACUUCCAGUGCUUUGACGAAACCUCAGAUGCGAGGCCUUCUGGCCAAGCGUCUGCGAUUUCAUGUUGUUGGAGCCUUCGUUGUAUCCCUGGGGGUUGCAGCUUUCUAUAAGUUUGCUGUGGCCGAACCAAGAAAGAAGGCAUAUGCAGAUUUCUACAGAAAUUACGAUUCCAUGAAAGAUUUUGAGGAGAUGAGGAGGGCUGGUAUCUUUCAGAGUGCAAAGUGAUUUUGGAAUGUAAAGAAUUUCUUUGGGUUGAGUUCAAUUGAAGUUUGUCACUGACCUGUGUUCCUGAACUAUGAAGCACGAAUAUUGGGUUCUGGAAUAGGUUGUCUUGAUAAAUAAACAACUAACAAAUACUUUGGACAGUACGUUUCUGUUUAAUUCUUCUGAUAAUUCAGGGUUGGAGAUUUUAACUGUGUUUAUGAACCUUAGGAUGAUUAACUUGAUUUUAACAUUUCUUAAAACUACCAUUGUCUUCGAAUAUUUUUCAUUGCUCUGGUGUUUAAUUCACUGAAAUACUGGUAGGUGCACUUUCUUCAUCCUGCAGUCUACAUGAGCCUGUAAGACCACUCACUAUACUGUACCCUCUUAGAAGGGACAGAGAACAUCUUUUCAGUAAAAUAUGUCCUUGGGCUUCAUUGUCACUGUUUAGUAGCCCUGAUGGAUCAACCACCAGUUUCAGUAGAUAAUUAAAAUACCAGUUGUUUUUGAAGAGUUAACAGUAUGUGUAUAUAAGUUAGAAUAUAUAUCUGUAUUUGUGUGUGUGUGUGUGUGUGU